This 123-nucleotide ribosomal RNA is filed under the name uncultured bacterium. Its description in RNAcentral is "partial 16S ribosomal RNA". It matches the Rfam family "Bacterial small subunit ribosomal RNA", at positions 1360 to 1482 of the family's 1533-position model. The record is from RNAcentral.
CGGUGAAUACGUUCCCGGGCCUUGUACACACCGCCCGUCACGCCAUGGGAGCUGGUACUACCCGAAGGGAUUUUACCAACCGUAAGGAGGUAAAUUUCGACGGUAUUACCGGUGACUGGGGUG